Molecule: long non-coding RNA, 1241 nt
Organism: Tarenaya hassleriana
Lineage: Eukaryota; Viridiplantae; Streptophyta; Magnoliopsida; Brassicales; Cleomaceae
Exons: 5
Source: RefSeq, a predicted model, not a curated record
UGGCUUUUGUUUCGCGGCCUUUUUCUAUGAAGAUGCACAUUCUUGUCUGAAGUUUUUCAUUGACACGAACUUUGUGAUUCUAGUUCCAUCUGUAAUGAUUUUUCUCAAAUCUUUAAUGGGAUUGAUUGUUUUUUCAUGUACUGAUCGGCAGAGUUAGGAGUGGAGCAAUGCAAAUGGAUCCUAUUCAGCUCGCUCUGGGUUUCAUGCUUCUUGGCUCAGUUCUCAUUUCGGCCGAGGAACUUGAUUUUGUUCAUUGUGAAAGAGUUGUGAGAAAGCGAGUGGAUUCUUCUUCUCUUGAAGAAAACAUCAGCGAGGAAAAAAGCUCGCAUGUUUUCACUGUUUUCUGAGGAAGAUGUAUGAUAGCACUGACGAAUGCCCCCUUUCUUAUGAUAAACUCCACUUCGAUCCGAGAGAUAUUUCCAUGGGAGAACUUGUCUUAUUACAUCUUGGCCCAGCAGAUUCUUAUGAAUCUCUCUGGGGUUCGGCUUUUAUAGAGAAUUUUGUCAUCAAUAAAUGUUAAAAGCCUCGGUGAAACUGUUCUUCAAGCUGCAAAGAGGAGGUUGGACAGCAUGCUGUACGUUGGACUGACAGAGGAGCAUAGAGAAUCAGCAUCUCUUUUUGCGGAAGUAGUGGGUUCUCAAGUGCUUUCUCGGGUUGUUCUGAAUUAUGGUGGCUGGAAUAUCGAGUAACUUAAGUUUAAGAAAGUUGCAAGGAUUAUUCUUUAAGCUACCCUUUUACCUGUAUCACAUGGGAAAUGCUCUUCUUGGUGAGGGUACAAAUAUUACCGAUGAUGAGUUCACCCAAAAACAGCAGUUCUUGAUGGUAUGACUAAGUCUUAAUUGUCCCUGAUUGUGAAGGUUUCUGCAAUCCUUUUUUGUACAUGUCUAAUUCCAUCAAGUGUAUUUUUACCCUUAUUCACGAGUUAAUUAUAGUUUCGUGGAGUUAGAAGAUUGGUGGAGCCUAUCUAUUGCAUUUGUUACACCUAAAGACAUGCUCACAAAGUAUAUUGCUGUGCUCCCGAGCACAAAGCUCUAAACUUCAUUUUCUCGAUGAUGCGGAACCAAGAGUCAAAAUCUCGGAAUCAAGAUCGGGGAAUGGUGAACGCCAGGUAUAAUCCAACUCCGUAUCACAACAGUUCCUCAGUUGUCGGUUAGGGUAAUAUUUUUUCCAACAGUGUAUGUGACAUCAUAGAAUGAUGCAUCUGAAGUAGCUCUGGAUAAGGCAGAAACUAAAAGUGAGAA